RNAcentral lists this long non-coding RNA (717 nucleotides) under Dasypus novemcinctus (nine-banded armadillo). RNAcentral describes it as "lncRNA (ENSDNOG00000051731.1)". The record is from RNAcentral. Lineage: Eukaryota; Metazoa; Chordata; Mammalia; Cingulata; Dasypodidae.
UUGAAAUUGAAGUCAAGUUGUUCAUAAAGAAUGUAUGAAGCUUCUCAACUUGAAACAUGAGUGUCAAAUACCUGAACACUUUUGGAUGGUGAAGCUCCUGGCUCGUAUAAACUCUCUGAAGUUAAUAGGAGUUUUGCUGUCUUGAGACAGUUUUAGACCAUAAGCUAUUUACUUUAUAAUAGAUUUUUAGCCAAGUAGCUUGUAUACUAUAAUUUUAUGGUUUGAUAUGUUUACUUGAAGUGAAUGAGAAAAUUUGGGGGGUAUUUCAUUCAUUAUACAUAUUGGGUUUUCUAUAAAUUUAGGUUUUCAUUCAAGCCAGAGAGCAGAACUUAGAUUGAAUUCUAUUACCCAUUUAUGAAAGCAUAUAUAUGGAAUAAAAGUUGCUCUUGGAGAUGCUGUGGGCUUAAGUUAGUUGGCAUUAUUAGUAUAGAUUGAUUAAAUAGUAACCAGAAAUACUUUCAAAUGGUAAUUUUAAAAUUAAAACAGUGGGAAUUACUUAGCAUUUACAUACUCAGAUAAAAGCUUUAUAGACUAAUGAGUUUAAUAUACUUUAAUCCUAAAAAAGUGUUUAUUCUUUCUUUAAUAUUUUUCCUAGGAGGCACCGUAUUGUGUACUAGUAUUCUCGUACAUUCUCAGUUUUAGACUAAUGAAAAGUGAGCAUGCUAGAAACUAAAACUAUUAAAUAGGAGUCACUUAUAAUUUGUUUUGUGUAGCUGA